RNAcentral lists this ribosomal RNA (432 nucleotides) under uncultured Methylocystaceae bacterium. RNAcentral's name for it is "bacterial SSU rRNA". It matches the Rfam family "Bacterial small subunit ribosomal RNA", at positions 342 to 791 of the family's 1533-position model. The record is from RNAcentral. Lineage: Bacteria; Pseudomonadati; Pseudomonadota; Alphaproteobacteria; Hyphomicrobiales; Methylocystaceae.
CGGGUGGCAGCAGUGGGGAAUAUUGGACAAUGGGCGCAAGCCUGAUCCAGCCAUGCCGCGUGAGUGAUGACGGCCUUAGGGUUGUAAAGCUCUUUCGCACGCGACGAUAAUGACGGUAGCGUGAGAAGAAGCCCCGGCUAACUUCGUGCCAGCAGCCGCGGUAAUACGAAGGGGGCUAGCGUUGUUCGGAAUCACUGGGCGUAAAGGGUGCGUAGGCGGGCAAUUAAGUCAGGGGUGAAAUCCCGAGGCUCAACCUCGGAACUGCCCUUGAUACUGGUUGUCUUGAGUCCGGAAGAGGUGAGUGGAACUGCGAGUGUAGAGGUGAAAUUCGUAGAUAUUCGCAAGAACACCGGUGGCGAAGGCGGCUCACUGGUCCGGAACUGACGCUGAGGCACGACAGCGUGGGGAGCAAACAGGAUUAGAUACCCCAGU